RNAcentral lists this ribosomal RNA (422 nucleotides) under uncultured Alistipes sp. Its description in RNAcentral is "partial 16S ribosomal RNA". It matches the Rfam family "Bacterial small subunit ribosomal RNA", at positions 355 to 774 of the family's 1533-position model. The record is from RNAcentral. Lineage: Bacteria; Pseudomonadati; Bacteroidota; Bacteroidia; Bacteroidales; Rikenellaceae.
UGAGGAAUAUUGGUCAAUGGACGCAAGUCUGAACCAGCCAUGCCGCGUGCAGGAAGACGGCUCUAUGAGUUGUAAACUGCUUUUGUACGAGGGUAAACGCAGAUACGUGUAUCUGUCUGAAAGUAUCGUACGAAUAAGGAUCGGCUAACUCCGUGCCAGCAGCCGCGGUAAUACGGAGGAUUCAAGCGUUAUCCGGAUUUAUUGGGUUUAAAGGGUGCGUAGGCGGUUUGAUAAGUUAGAGGUGAAAUAUUAGGGCUUAACCCUGAAACUGCCUCUAAUACUGUUGAACUAGAGAGUAGUUGCGGUAGGCGGAAUGUAUGGUGUAGCGGUGAAAUGCUUAGAUAUCAUACAGAACACCGAUUGCGAAGGCAGCUUACCAAACUAUAUCUGACGUUGAGGCACGAAAGCGUGGGGAGCAAACA